AAUACACUUGGUCAAAUAAAAGAUACACAAUGAGGAACACAUUAAUCUUGAAAAGGAUAGACAGAUGCUUUGAUAAUGAAAGAUGGAUAAAGCAACAUCUUGAGGCUAGUGUUCUGCACCUACCAGGACCCACUCAGACCAUUGCCCUCUGAAAAUCCAACUAGAAUGGCCCCCAUCCCAAAUCUAUCCGAGGCCUUUUAGGUUUGAAACCAUGUGGACUAGUCACCCUGAAUUCCCAAAGAUCAUUGACCAGGCCUUCCAUGGGAGGCCCAAUCUGCUAACCUCUAUUGACAAUUUCAAAAACAGAGGGCCCCCGGACCAAAUCCAUCUCAGGCCUUUUAGGUUUGAAACCAUGUGGGCUAGUCACCCUGAAUUCCCAAAGGUCAUUGACCAGACCUUCCAUGGGAGGCCUAAUCUGCUAACCUCUAUUGACAAUUUCAAAAACAGUGCUAC
This 453-nucleotide long non-coding RNA is filed under the name Nicotiana benthamiana. RNAcentral describes it as "long non-coding RNA (NBEN_LNC031253)". The record is from RNAcentral. Lineage: Eukaryota; Viridiplantae; Streptophyta; Magnoliopsida; Solanales; Solanaceae.